Corvus hawaiiensis (hawaiian crow) is the source of this 1781-nucleotide long non-coding RNA. RefSeq lists it as uncharacterized. The record is from RefSeq and is a predicted model, not a curated record. The transcript is spliced from 5 exons. NCBI's taxonomy places the organism in Eukaryota, Metazoa, Chordata, Aves, Passeriformes, Corvidae.
ACUUACAGGGGCUAGGACUCCUGGAGCAUCUCUUCUCUAAUUCUUCAGCUUUGAAUAUUGUAACUUUGUGUGCUCCAGCUUUGGUACCUUUGUUCUGGAUGCAUGACAGAGAAAAAUUCAAGGCUAUGCUGCAAAAUGUUUGUCUUUCUUCUUUUAAGACUAACAACCAUACCCCAUGCUUUUUUCCUCCUCUCUCUAUGUGCUGUAGCUUUUUCACACCUCUCCACUGAAGAACUCCUUCAGAGGCACUAAAAUGAGUCCUUACUUCUUUGGCGAAGAGGUGGUUAAAAAGGAACAGGACUGUGAGGGGGAGAUGGGGCUGUGGAGCUGAGCAAGGCUGAGUCAAGACAGAACAAAAGGCAGCAUCGGCUGAAGUCAAGGAGAGGACUCCACUUCCUGCAAUACAGCUAAUCCCUCAAAAUGCAGUUUGGAUUUUGCUUUCUGUGGAGCUGAUCCUUACGUGAAGGAAAGGUUACCUUGGGAACAAGGUUAAAUGCAGACAUAUGGGCUUCUCUUUAUGCUUUGGAGAACAGUGGACUGUUGACUGUUUAAUGAUGGGAGAGUGACGUUUGAUGCUGAGAAGGCCCUGCUGGAAGUGCCCUCUGGGAGACAAGGUUCAGCACAAAGGUAGAAAGAAGGAAAGAUAAACUCCAAUAAAGAGUCUCUGAGCAACUGGAUGUCUUGCUGUUUGAAAUAUGCUGAAAUACAAGAUACUGAUGACUGAUGUGGCUUUUUAUUCUCCAGUCAUCUGACUAUAAAGCUGUGCCACUCAAUCCUGCCAAGCCCAGCCCAGCCCAGAUCCUGCGUCAGCUCUGAAUUCAAAACCUCAGCAGCCCUAAGAGCCUUGCUGCAACUUCAGGAGAGGAGCAAUCACCUGCAACAAGGAAAGCCUCUGUAAGUCAGCAUUGAGGAAGGACCUGAAGGCACCCAGCCAUGGCUGUCAGCUGCUGGCAUGUAGCCCUAACCUCCCCCUUUCCUCCAUCCUUGUUUUCCACAGCCCUGCCUCACAUGGCAUAGCUUUAGGUUUUCUAGCAGAAACCCUUACCUGAAUAAGCAGGCUUAGAGGAAUCUGAACACUCCAAUGAAUCUUGAAAUGCUUUGCCUCAACUGUGAAAGGCCACUUUGAACAAAGAGGAUAAUUGACCUUCCCUUGCAUAUUUGAUGCAUAAAUGGUGACUCCUGACUACAAUAUCUGCUUGCUGCUUUUUCUUUCUGUUACCACUGAAGAGGCGCCAUUACCAUGGAAGCAUGAGCCGGGUAAUCUCUAGUUUAUGCUUUGUCAGCAGGGAAGCUGCCUGAGUUCAGGCUGCAGGACACUUGCUGAUGAUUGGGCAAUCCACUUUGUAGGAUUGCCCAACAGCAGAACACAACUUUUCUUUGGAACUUCAUCAGAUUUGAGCUGACAGUUGUCAAUAUGUGAGAUGUAAAUAUGAAGAUUUUAUGGUUGAAGUCAUAAAAAGUUUGGUUUUAAGCUCGAAGCCAUACUUUAGGCAGUAACACAUGAUGCUUCAGUGGAAGGUGUGUCUUUCAAAUCAUACCUUGCUUCUAGCAAAGUAUUUUUUGUAUGUUAUCACAUCAUAUGAAUAAUGUUUAUAUCAUCAUGAGUGUUGUCAUGACCUCAUAUUUACAAGACUAAACUCUGCUUUAUUUACACAUCUGAGAAUAAUUUUGUUUAGCUAUAAUUUCCAUUUAAGCCUAAAAAUAAAUGUUUGUGACAUCUGAGCAUGCGUUUGUUGCUCUGACUACUCUUUACAUUCAGUACUGAGCAUGGAGCCCUUUUC